AUUCGACAAUCGGUUCCAUUAGAUAUGAUUUGUGCUAUUGGAACUAUCUAGAACUAAAUUUUCUAUUUUUUUGACUUCAUAAUUGCUUAGUGAACGAGUAGCCUAAAACUCAACAACCGAAAAUAAAAAUCUCAUAAAAAAUAGUAAUAAAAUAUUCAAAUUUCAAAUCAGAAAUAUUGAUCUUUCUAUUGAUGUUAAGUAGAAUUUUCUAUUAAAGUUUUAUGUAAUUUGGAUUGUUCUAUACCGUUGAAUUUAAAACAUACCACAUAGACCAUUAAAAUAGUCAUUUUUGAGACCUUUUGAUCAUGCAGUAAAUGAUGUCCAAAAAUUAUAAAAUUUGGUUUCUGGAUAGAUCCAAUAGUGUAAAUUAUGCCUAACGGAGCCGAUUGUCAAAUCGAAUAUCCUAUCAUCAAAAAUAACUUACAAGCAUGGAGGUUUCCAUACAUUCAAAAGUACAGAAGACCCGACUACUAUACUCUUAUGAGUACGAUCACCUUCGUACUUAUAAAUCGUUUUCGAUGAUAGAGCUUUCGAAUUGACGAUCCAUACCAUUAAACAUUAUCUAGUGUAUUUAAAACUUCUAGAAAUCAAAUUUUAUAAUUUUUGGACAUCAUUUACCUUACGAUCAAAAGGGCACAAAAUUGACAAUUUUUAACGGUCGGUAUGGGAUACUUGCUAGUUUAACGGUGUAAAAGAAGUGGAAUAGGUUGAAUUUUUGAUAAAAAAACUCUAUUCACUAUCUAGGUAAAGAUCAAUAACUCCGAUCUUAAAUUGAAGGAUCCAAUCAUUCAUUUUUAAGACGUUGUUCAAUUUUCAUUUUAUGCCCGCUUGAUGGGCUUUAUUAUAAUUUCAAAAAAUUACGAAAUUUAUUUUUUAGAAGUUUCAAAUACUCUAGAUCAUAUUUAACGGAGCGGCCGGAUCGUCGAUUCGGAAGCUCCAUCAUCGAAAAUAACUUAUGGAUAUGAAGGACUCUAUACUUAUAAGAGUAUAGUAGCCUACUCUAUAUGAGUACGUCUCCUAUGUUUUCGAAAGUAUGGAGGUCUCCGUACUUGUAAGUUGUUUUCAAUGAUGAGAUAUUCGAUUCGACGAUCGUCAAUUAGAAAUAAUCUUCGCUAUUAAAACUAUUUAGAAGCCAAAUUUCAUAAUUUUUUUAACUUUGUUUAUCUAAUAAUCGUCACUAUUAAAUGUAACUUACAAGUACAUACAGAGGCGU
This 1213-nucleotide long non-coding RNA is filed under the name Ananas comosus (pineapple). Its description in RNAcentral is "long non-coding RNA (ACOM_LNC003389)". The record is from RNAcentral. Lineage: Eukaryota; Viridiplantae; Streptophyta; Magnoliopsida; Poales; Bromeliaceae.